This 7428-nucleotide unclassified non-coding RNA is filed under the name Anthonomus grandis grandis. Its description in RNAcentral is "clavesin-2-like". Lineage: Eukaryota; Metazoa; Arthropoda; Insecta; Coleoptera; Curculionidae. The record is from RNAcentral.
AUGGUCUCCGAUUUCAGUUGCAACUUGCAGUUUGCACGUUAAACAGUUUAUUCGAAAGGAGAACGUUGAUCGUUACUCGUUGCGUACUGCAAAAAUUGUGACAUAACAUUCGACAACAUUGUUUUGGGUAUUUUUGUUUAUCGUAAACUAGGUCAAACCGUUCGUUGUGAAAAUGCCCCUGGACACAGACGUAUUGUACAAAUUGGACUUGAAGGACCCACCUGAACAACUUAUGAAGUGGGCCGAGGAAAAUAUACGAGAAAAUCCUGAUACAAAAUGUCUGAUCAUUGAAGAUUUUAGGGAUAUGAUUUAUGGUCGAGGUGAAUGCGUCCCACAUAGAACCGACGACGCUUUUUUGCUCAGAUUCCUAAGGGCCAGGAAAUUCAAUGUCGAGGCAGCCCACAGAUUAUUUGUAAACUACUACCGUUUUAAAGAAAACAAUCCGGAAUUCUUUGACGGUGUUCAACUCAAAAAUCUACUGGAAAUCGGUUGUGACGAUAUUAUUACCGUACCCCCAUACAGGGAACAAACUGGAAGAAGGAUCUUACUUUAUCGCAUGGGUAACUGGGAUCCCGAAAAAUACACCGUGACCCAACUGUUUCAAGCGACCAUGGCCAUUUUGGAGUUGGCGAUAUUAGAGCAGAGAGCUCAGAUCCUGGGAGGCAUUGGCCUCUUUGACAUGUCAAAUUUAACGUUUCAGCAGGCUUGUUAUAUGACGCCCAGUAUAGCACAUAAAAUUAUCCAGAUAUUAGUGACAUCAUUCCCAAUGAAAAUUCACGCGAUCCACAUCGUGUUCCAGCCCUACAUUUUCGACAUCGUUUAUCGAGUAUUUCAACCGUUCCUCACCGGUACAAUGAAGGACAAGUUAUACCUUCAUGGAGAAGAUAUGGAGAGUCUGCAUAAAUAUAUUGACCCGAAACAUUUACCAGAAAAAUAUGGCGGAAGACAUCCGGACUACGCCUACGGACCUUGGAUCGAGGAUUUUUUGAAAAACGAAGAAAUCAAGAACGAAUUGCGAUCGUUGGGUUAUACGGUCGACGAAUUAGAAUAUGAAGAAUAUUUAAGUGAUAGUGAUAAGUCCGAGGGGUCAUCGUGUGUAUCUGAUUAGAGCAUUUGUUGUUUAUGUAUUAUAAGUGAUAUAGAUUUAAAUGUACAGGGUGUCUCAAAUUCGAGGGUAAGAAACCGUAAGAGUUCCGGGGUCGGUUAAAUGGAGACAAAGUUGCGCCAAUUAAAGAGAUAUCAGCCAACUAAAAACAGUUUUUUAUUGCCGCUUUGACGCAAAAAAAAAAUAAUUCCGACGUUUCGUUUUUCUUUUCGAUCAUCAUCAACUUUAUUUUUUCUUAUGGGCGUCAUUAUUGGAUUUUCUCAUUUUUUAAAAAGUAUUUUUAUCUGCCUUUAAAAUGAGGCAUCGCACUUGCAUGUCCGAUUACCCCUUCCAGUACUUCCCAUAAGGACUGCAUGAGUGCAAACGAGAAAGAUAUAUCAAUGGGAUUACAAAAUAAAUUCGAUACAGGGGGGUAUACCCGAAAAAUGAAAAAUUCCAAACUUUGAAGGUCGAUAUCUCGGCUUCUAUGGGGGGUAUCGGGAAAAUUCCAACGGUUUUGUCUUAGUUUCGUCGUUCUAAAUCCAACGAGACCAUCCGCAAGGUCGUAGCUUUUCUAAUAGCUGAGAUAUGGCAUUUUUGAUGCCCAUUUUUGGCCUCAAAAACGGACGUCGAAAACGACUUUUUCAGGAUUUUCAAAGUGCUCUCAUUCCCUUAGUUCUGCUCCGAUCCUGUUAUAACCCGGUGUUUUCGUAAUCUAGGUGACCCAAAUAAGACGCUGGUGUAGUUAGUUUGAUUUCGAAAAAAAUCAAUUUUUGGUGAAAAAAUUCGAUACGGGGGGGUAUACCCGAAAAAUGAAUAAUUCCAAACUUUGAAGAUCGAUAUCUCGGCUUCUAUGGGGGGUAUCGGGAAAAUUCCAACGGUUUUGUCUUAGUUUCAUCGUUCUAAAUCCAACGAGACCAUCCGCAAGGUCGUAGCUCCACUAAUAGCUGAGAUAUGGCAUUUUUGAUGCCCAUUUUUGGCCUCAAAAACGGACGUCGAAAACGACUUUUUCAGGAUUUUCAAAGUGCUCUCAUUCCCUUAGUUCUGCUCGGAUCCUGUUAUAACCUGGUGUUUUCGUAAUCUAGGUGACCCAAAUAAGACACUGGUGUACUUAGUUUGAUUUCGAAAAAAAAUCAAUUUUUGGUGAAAAAAUUCGAUACGGGGGGGUAUACCCGAAAAAUGAAAAAGUCCAAACUUUGAAGGUCGAUAUCUCGGCUUCUAUGGGAGCUAUUGGGAAAAUUCCAACGGUUUUUUCUUAGUUUCGUCAUUCUAAAUCCAACGAGACCAUCCGCAAGGUCGUAGCUCUUCUAAUAGCUGAGAUAUGGCAUUUUUGAUGCCCAUUUUUGGCCUCAAAAACGGACGUCGAAAACGACUUUUUCAGGAUUUUCAAAGUGCUCUCAUUCCCUUAGUUCUGCUCCGAUCCUGUUAUAACCCGGUGUUUUCGUAAUCUAGGUGACCCAAAUAAGACGCUGGUGUAUUUAGUUUGAUUUCGAAAAAAAUCAAUUUUUGGUGAAAAAAUUCGAUACGGGGGGGUAUACCCGAAAAAUGAAAAAUUCCAAACUUUGAAGGUCGAUAUCUCGGCUUCUAUGGGGGGUAUCGGGAAAAUUCCAACGGUUUUGUCUUAGUUUCGUCGUUCUAAAUCCAACGAGACCAUCCGCAAGGUCUUAGCUCUUCUAAUAGCUGAGAUAUGGCAUUUUUGAUGCCAAUUUUUGGCCUCAAAAACGGACGUCGAAAACGACUUUUUCAGGAUUUUCAAAGUGCUCUCAUUCCCUUAGUUCUGCUCGGAUCCUGUUAUAACCUGGUGUUUUCGUAAUCUAGGUGACCCAAAUAAGACACUGGUGUACUUAGUUUGAUUUCGAAAAAAAAUCAAUUUUUGGUGAAAAAAUUCGAUACGGGGGGGUAUACCCGAAAAAUGAAAAAACCCAAACUUUGAAGGUCGAUAUCUCGGCUUCUAUGGGAGUUAUCGGAAAAAUUCCAACGGUUUUGUCUUAGUUUCGUCGUUCUAAAUCCAACGAGACCAUCCGCAAGGUCGUAGCUUUUCUAAUAGCUGAGAUAUGGCAUUUUUGAUGCCCAUUUUUGGCCUCAAAAACGGACGUCGAAAACGACUUUUUCAGGAUUUUCAAAGUGCUCUCAUUCCCUUAGUUCUGCUCGGAUCCUCUUAUAACCCGGUGUUUUCGUAAUCUAGGUGACCCAAAUAAGACGCUGGUAUACUUGGUUUGAUUUCGAAAAAAAUCAAUUUUUGGUGAAAAAAUUCGAUACGGGGGGGUAUACCCGAAAAAUGAAAAAACCCAAACUUUGAAGGUCGAUAUCUCGGCUUCUAUGGGAGUUAUCGGAAAAAUUCCAACGGUUGUGUCUUAGUUUCGUCGUUCUAAAUCCAACGAGACCAUCCGCAAGGUCGUAGCUCUUCUAAUAGCUGAGAUAUGGCAUUUUUGAUGCCCAUUUUUGGCCUCAAAAACGGACGUCGAAAACGACUUUUUCAGGAUUUUCAAAGUGCUCUCUUUCCCUUAGUUCUGCUCGGAUCCUCUUAUAACCCGGUGUUUUCGUAAUCUAGGUGACCCAAAUAAGACGCUGGUAUACUUGGUUUGAUUUCGACAAAAAUCAAUUUUUGGUGAAAAAAUUCGAUACGGGGGGGUAUACCCGAAAAAUGAAAAAAUCCAAACUUUGAAGGUCGAUAUCUCGGCUUCUAUGGGAGUUAUCGGGAAAAUUCCAACGGUUUUGUCUUAGUUUCGUCGUUCUAAAUCCAACGAGGCCAUCCGCAAGGUCGUAGCUUUUCUAAUAGCUGAGAUAUGGCAUUUUUGAUGCCCAUUUUUGGCCUCAAAAACGGACGUCGAAAACGACUUUUUCUGGAUUUUCAAAGUGCUCUCAUUCCCUUAGUUCUGCUCCGAUCCUGUUAUAACCCGGUGUUUUCGUAAUCUAGGUGACCCAAAUAAGACGCUGGUGUAGUUAGUUUGAUUUCGAAAAAAAUCAAUUUUUGGUGAAAAAAUUCGAUACGGGGGGGUAUACCCGAAAAAUGAAUAAUUCCAAACUUUGAAGAUCGAUAUCUCGGCUUCUAUGGGGGGUAUCGGGAAAAUUCCAACGGUUUUGUCUUAGUUUCGUCGUUCUAAAUCCAACGAGACUAUCCGCAAGGUCGUAGCUCCACUAAUAGCUGAGAUAUGGCAUUUUUGAUGCCCAUUUUUGGCCUCAAAAACGGACGUCGAAAACGACUUUUUCUGGAUUUUCAAAGUGCUCUCAUUCCCUUAGUUCUGCUCCGAUCCUGUUAUAACCCGGUGUUUUCGUAAUCUAGGUGACCCAAAUAAGACGCUGGUGUAGUUAGUUUGAUUUCGAAAAAAAUCAAUUUUUGGUGAAAAAAUUCGAUACGGGGGGGUAUACCCGAAAAAUGAAUAAUUCCAAACUUUGAAGAUCGAUAUCUCGGCUUCUAUGGGGGGUAUCGGGAAAAUUCCAACGGUUUUGUCUUAGUUUCGUCGUUCUAAAUCCAACGAGACCAUCCGCAAGGUCGUAGCUUUUCUAAUAGCUGAGAUAUGGCAUUUUUGAUGCCCAUUUUUGGCCUCAAAAACGGACGUCGAAAACGACUUUUUCAGGAUUUUCAAAGUGCUCUCAUUCCCUUAGUUCUGCUCGGAUCCUCUUAUAACCCGGUGUUUUCGUAAUCUAGGUGACCCAAAUAAGACGCUGGUAUACUUGGUUUGAUUUCGAAAAAAAUCAAUUUUUGGUGAAAAAAUUCGAUACGGGGGGGUAUACCCGAAAAAUGAAUAAUUCCAAACUUUGAAGAUCGAUAUCUCGGCUUCUAUGGGGGGUAUCGGGAAAAUUCCAACGGUUUUGUCUUAGUUUCGUCGUUCUAAAUCCAACGAGACUAUCCGCAAGGUCGUAGCUCCACUAAUAGCUGAGAUAUGGCAUUUUUGAUGCCCAUUUUUGGCCUCAAAAACGGACGUCGAAAACGACUUUUUCUGGAUUUUCAAAGUGCUCUCAUUCCCUUAGUUCUGCUCCGAUCCUGUUAUAACCCGGUGUUUUCGUAAUCUAGGUGACCCAAAUAAGACGCUGGUGUAGUUAGUUUGAUUUCGAAAAAAAUCAAUUUUUGGUGAAAAAAUUCGAUACGGGGGGGUAUACCCGAAAAAUGAAUAAUUCCAAACUUUGAAGAUCGAUAUCUCGGCUUCUAUGGGGGGUAUCGGGAAAAUUCCAACGGUUUUGUCUUAGUUUCGUCGUUCUAAAUCCAACGAGACUAUCCGCAAGGUCGUAGCUCCACUAAUAGCUGAGAUAUGGCAUUUUUGAUGCCCAUUUUUGGCCUCAAAAACGGACGUCGAAAACGACUUUAUCAGGAUUUUCAAAGUGCUCUCAUUCCCUUAGUUCUGCUCGGAUCCUGUUAUAACCCGGUGUUUUCGUAAUCUAGGUGACCCAAAUAAGACGCUGGUGUAUUUAGUUUAAUCUCGAAAAAAAUCAAUUUUUGGUGAAAAAAUUCGAUACGGGGGGGUAUACCCGAAAUAUGAAAAAUUCCAAACUUUGAAGGUCGAUAUCUCGGCUUCUAUGGGAGCUAUCGGGAAAAUUCCAACGGUUUUGUCUUAGUUUCGUCGUUUUAAAUCCAACGAGACUAUCCGCAAGGUGGUAGCUCUUCUAAUAGCUGAGAUAUGGCAUUUUUGAUGCCCAUUUUUGGCCUCAAAAACGGACGUCGAAAACGACUUUUUCAGGAUUUUCAAAGUGCUCUCAUUCCCUUAGUUCUGCUGGGAUCCUGUUAUAACCCGGUGUUUUCGUAAUCUAGGUGACCCAAAUAAGACCCUGAUUACCAAAUAAAUUGAUUUAAAAAUAAACGGAUUCAAUGAAAAUUUAUUCUUUCCUAACCUAAUAUUUUGAUUUUUUUAAAAUUACAUGACAAAAUCACAUUAGCCGGGAGUUUUUAUGAGUGAAAAUGUGCAUAAUUUAAUGUGAUACGAGGCACGAUCUUAUAUCUAUCAUUACAGUUAAACAUUUAUUAGCCUAAUCAAAUGGUAGAAAAUAGGGGAAAGUUUCGGUGUAGUUUUGAAAUUUUCUUUAUACAGUAGAGCCUUGAUAAUCCGGACAUGCGUUACUCCGGAUGCUCCAGUAGUCCGAACACGAAUUUUGCCGCUAUUAUGUACGUUAUAGUCCGGAUUCGCUUGUACGCGAUAAUCCGGAUGGCGCCGUUUUCAGCCUUUUUGCAGGCUUUCACAAGUUUAAAGUCGACACUUAUUGCUUCCUGUCCUUCCUACACCAAUUCUGGGUAAUAUGGCUCCAAUACGAAAGCAUAAAACAUUAUCUUUAAAACAAAAGCUUGAUAUAUUGAACAGAUUAGAACGUGGCGUGAGUGGAUACGAUGUAGGCACAUCCACAAUUUCGGAUUCUGCGGUUCCUCUUCAACUGAUAAAAUCUUGGUACCUGAAACUCGAAAACCUGAUACGCCAAUUGCUUUAUUAAGGGUGCUAUUUAAACCCAGUCCACCUCUUCGGCUUACCAACAGUCAACCAGUCAAUUCCAGCCACUACGGUCUCACCCUUUUUCGAGAUGCUUUCAGCCAAAGCACUCGAAGAUGUUCCAGAUGAGGAGUACCUUCUAGGGCUGCUCCUAGAGCGGGGAUGUCUAUCAUGCUGCUGAGGCUGACCGUCUAUUCGAGAACGCCUGCCGCGAGCCACCCUAUCGUCUUCCACCCUCGACCCAACGCCUUCUUUACUAAAAGAGCCUCGAUGACGAUGACGUACCAGGGCUCUUUUUUUCUUUUAAAUAUCUGAGACCAAAUUGGUAACGAAAAAUCCCCAUUGGAUAGAGUUUUUAUAAGGGAAAAUGUGCAUAACUUAAUGUGAUAUGAGGCACCUUUUUUUAUUAAUAAUUAAAUAUUUAAGAAUAAAUGAAAACCCAAACAAUGUGGGAUAAAAUAAAAUAUUCGUGCAUAAUUUAAUGCGAUAUGAGGCACGUCUUUCUCGCUUGCACUCAUGGAGUUCUUACGGGAAGACUAGAGGGAGUAAUCGGACAUGCAAGUGAGAUGCGUCAUUUUAAAGGCAAAUAAAAAUACUUUUUAAAAAUGAGAAGUUGAUGAUGAUCGAAAAAAAAUGAAACGUCGGAUUAAUUUUUUUUUGCGUCAUGUUAUAGGACAUAAAAAGUGGCAAUGAAAAACUGUUUUUAGUUUGCCGAUAUCUAUUUAAAUAAAGUCGGUAGCAGGUAAAAACGAUUUUGACAAAUUUCGGUUUUUUUUGUUGGAUAUCUCCGGAAGUAUCCGGAAUUUUAGAAUUUUUUAAACGUCAUUUUAUUAAGCCCCAAAUUGUGCAACUUUUUCUCCAUAUAACCGACCUUGUAACUCUUAUGGUUUCCGAGAUCCCAAUUUACGAAUAAAACUCAAAGUAUUUUUA